GAUGAACGCUGGCGGCGUGCCUAAUACAUGCAAGUCGAGCGAACGGACGAUAAGCUUUCUUCUCUGAUGUUUGCGGCGGACGGGUGUUUAACACGUGUAUAACCUCCCUAUUUUUCUGGGAUAACUUCGUGAAACCGUAUCUAAUACCGGCUAAUAUUUUGCACCGCAUUGUUCAUAACUGUAAUACGGUCUUUCUGUCUCUUAUAGAUGGAUCCUCGCUGCAUUAGCUAGUUGGUAAGGUAACGGCUUACCAAGGCAACGAUGCAUAGCCGACCUGAGAGGGAGAUCGGCCACACUGGAAGUGAGAAACGGACCAGAGUACUACGGGAGGCAGCAGUAGGGAAGAGGACGGAAUGGGGGAAAGCAUGACGGAGGAACGCCGCGGGAGUGAUGAAGGACUGCGGAUCGGAAAACGCUGUUAGUAGGGAAGAAAAUAAGUGUAAGUAACUGUGGACAGAGUGACGGUAACUAAACAGAAAGCAACGGCUAACUACGUG
RNAcentral lists this ribosomal RNA (497 nucleotides) under uncultured bacterium. RNAcentral describes it as "partial 16S ribosomal RNA". It matches the Rfam family "Bacterial small subunit ribosomal RNA", at positions 28 to 507 of the family's 1533-position model. The record is from RNAcentral.